This 450-nucleotide ribosomal RNA is filed under the name uncultured bacterium. RNAcentral describes it as "partial 16S ribosomal RNA". It matches the Rfam family "Bacterial small subunit ribosomal RNA", at positions 354 to 796 of the family's 1533-position model. The record is from RNAcentral.
GUGGGGAAUUUUGGACAAUGGGCGCAAGCCUGAUCCAGCAAUGCCGCGUGCAGGAAGAAGGCCUUCGGGUUGUAAACUGCUUUUGUACGGAACGAAACGGUCCUGGUUAAUACCUGGGGCUAAUGACGGUACCGUAAGAAUAAGCACCGGCUAACUACGUGCCAGCAGCCGCGGUAAUACGUAGGGUGCGAGCGUUAAUCGGAAUUACUGGGCGUAAAGCGUGCGCAGGCGGUGCUGUAAGACAGGCGUGAACUCCCCGGGCUCAACCUGGGAAUUGCGCUUGUGACUGCAGUGCUGGAGUACGGCAGAGGGGGAUGGAAUUCCGCGUGUAGCAGUGAAAUGCGUAGAUAUGCGGAGGAACACCGAUGGCGAAGGCAGUCCCCUGGGCCUGUACUGACGCUCAUGCACGAAAGCGUGGGGAGCAAACAGGAUUAGAAACCCUAGUAGUCC